Molecule: ribosomal RNA, 253 nt
Filed under: uncultured bacterium
Lineage: Bacteria
Description: partial 16S ribosomal RNA
Rfam family: Bacterial small subunit ribosomal RNA
Source: RNAcentral
UACAGAGGUCCCAAGCGUUGUUCGGAUUCACUGGGCGUAAAGGGUGCGUAGGCGGUCGGAUAAGUCUGAUGUGAAAUCUUCGAGCUCAACUCGGAAACUGCAUCGGAAACUAUUCGGCUAGAGGAUUGGAGGGGAGACUGGAAUUCUCGGUGUAGCAGUGAAAUGCGCAGAUAUCGGGAGGAACACCCGUAGCGAAGGCGGCACUCUGGGCCGGUACUGACGCUGAGGAGCGAAAGCGUGGGGAGCGAACAGG